CCUACGGGGGGCUGCAGUAAGGAAUAUUGGGCAAUGGGCGGAAGCCUGACCCAGCGACACCGCGUGGAUGAUGAAGGUCUUCGGAUUGUAAAGUUCUAACAAGUAUAAGAAAGCGAGACAUGUUAAGAGCAUGUUGAGUUGAUGAAGGUACUAGAUGAAGUCAUGGCUAACUCUGUGCCAGCAGCCGCGGUAAUACAGAGAUGGCGACCGUUGUUCGGAAUCACUGGGCUUAAAGGGCAUGUAGGUGGAUUUAGAGGUUAAUUGUGAAAUGUAACGGCUUACCCGUUGACUGGCAGUUAAAACCGUGAAUCUAGAGUGAUGUAGGGGAGAGUGGAACUCCUGGUGGAGCGGUGAAAUGCGUUGAUAUCAGGAGGAACGCCGGAGGCGAAAGCGACUCUCUGGACAUUAACUGACACUGAGGUGCGAAAGCUAGGGGAUCAAACAGGAUUAGAUACCCGAGUAGUC
RNAcentral lists this ribosomal RNA (465 nucleotides) under uncultured bacterium. RNAcentral describes it as "bacterial SSU rRNA". It matches the Rfam family "Bacterial small subunit ribosomal RNA", at positions 338 to 795 of the family's 1533-position model. The record is from RNAcentral.